Molecule: long non-coding RNA, 152 nt
Organism: Xiphophorus hellerii (green swordtail)
Lineage: Eukaryota; Metazoa; Chordata; Actinopteri; Cyprinodontiformes; Poeciliidae
Exons: 2
Source: RefSeq, a predicted model, not a curated record
AAUUAGAAAGUGUGUCCAAACUUUUGGUCUGUACUGUAUGUAUAUGUUUUUUUGCUGGUGCACAAAAUGAGUCGUGCAUGAACGUCACCUUUGCUCAAAGAACAAAACCAUGAACUCACAGCAAGUUACAGUGUUACUUUAUUCUGGCCCCC